AUGCGCCACCUCCUCUUGGAGUGCCCCUUCGCCAGGCAGACUUGGCACGAAAUCCUGUCCUGGCUACGGAUGACCACUGCAGGGCCAAGCCACGAAGAUUCAUUGAUGGACUGGUGGCUGCAGGCAAGGCAAAACACGCCAACACUGAUGCGUAAGGGCCUAGCCUCCAUUGCUCUGUUGACACCAUGGAUGAUCUGGAAACAGCGCAACGAAUGCAUCUUUGAGGGCGCCCAGCCCCUGGUUCAGGUUCUGGUCUCGAAGAUCAAAGAGGAAGCCAAGCAGUGGGCAAGAGCGGGCGCCCACGGCCUACGCGUCAUUCUGCCGCCCACCUGGGACGUGCACUAA
Molecule: ribosomal RNA, 345 nt
Filed under: Triticum aestivum (bread wheat)
Lineage: Eukaryota; Viridiplantae; Streptophyta; Magnoliopsida; Poales; Poaceae
Description: partial small subunit ribosomal RNA
Source: RNAcentral